Molecule: ribosomal RNA, 573 nt
Filed under: uncultured bacterium
Lineage: Bacteria
Description: bacterial SSU rRNA
Rfam family: Bacterial small subunit ribosomal RNA
Source: RNAcentral
ACUCCUACGGGAGGCAGCAGUGGGGAAUAUUGCACAAUGGGCGCAAGCCUGAUGCAGCAACGCCGCGUGAGGGACGACGGCCUUCGGGUUGUAAACCUCUUUUAGUAGGGAAGAAGCGAAAGUGACGGUACCUGCAGAAAAAGCACCGGCUAACUACGUGCCAGCAGCCGCGGUAAUACGUAGGGUGCAAGCGUUAUCCGGAAUUAUUGGGCGUAAAGAGCUCGUAGGCGGUUUGUCGCGUCUGCUGUGAAAACUGGAGGCUCAACCUCCAGCCUGCAGUGGGUACGGGCAGACUAGAGUGCGGUAGGGGAGAUUGGAAUUCCUGGUGUAGCGGUGGAAUGCGCAGAUAUCAGGAGGAACACCGAUGGCGAAGGCAGAUCUCUGGGCCGUAACUGACGCUGAGGAGCGAAAGCGUGGGGAGCGAACAGGAUUAGAUACCCUGGUAGUCCACGCCGUAAACGUUGGGAACUAGAUGUAGGGACCAUUCCACGGUUUCUGUGUCGCAGCUAACGCAUUAAGUUCCCCGCCUGGGGAGUACGGCCGCAAGGCUAAAACUCAAAGGAAUUGACGGGG